CAAGUCGGCCGGGAUUCAAUAGCUUGCUAUUGAUGAGAGUGGCGCACGGGUGCGUAACGCGUGAGCAACCUGCCCAUUUCAGGGGGAUAGUCCGGAGAAAUCCGGAUUAAGACCGCAUAUGAUCACGUUACCGCAUGGUAGAGUGAUGAAAUAUUCAUAGGAAAUGGAUGGGCUCGCGUGACAUUAGCUAGUUGGUAGGGUAACGGCCUACCAAGGCGACGAUGUCUAGGGGCUCUGAGAGGAGAAUCCCCCACACUGGUACUGAGACACGGACCAGACUCCUACGGGAGGCAGCAGUAAGGAAUAUUGGUCAAUGGGGGAAACCCUGAACCAGCCAUGCCGCGUGCAGGAAGACGCCCCUACGGGUUGUAAACUGUUUUUGCACGGGAAUAACCCUCAUUAUGUAUAAUGAGCUGAAUGUACCGUGAGAAUAAGGAUCGGCUAACUCCGUGCCAGCAGCCGCGGUAAUACGGAGGAUCCGAGCGUUAUCCGGAAUUAUUGGGUUUAAAGGGUGCGCAGGCGGGGAUCUAAGUCAGGGGUGAAAGACGUGUGGCUCAACCAUCGCAGUGCCUUUGAUACUGGAUUCCUUGAAUAUACCUGAGGUAGGCGGAAUGUGGCAAGUAGCGGUGAAAUGC
This 635-nucleotide ribosomal RNA is filed under the name Olivibacter sp. RMN-Slr-27. Its description in RNAcentral is "bacterial SSU rRNA". It matches the Rfam family "Bacterial small subunit ribosomal RNA", at positions 58 to 689 of the family's 1533-position model. Lineage: Bacteria; Pseudomonadati; Bacteroidota; Sphingobacteriia; Sphingobacteriales; Sphingobacteriaceae. The record is from RNAcentral.